This 253-nucleotide ribosomal RNA is filed under the name uncultured bacterium. RNAcentral's name for it is "partial 16S ribosomal RNA". It matches the Rfam family "Bacterial small subunit ribosomal RNA", at positions 524 to 776 of the family's 1533-position model. The record is from RNAcentral.
UACGUAGGGACCAAGCGUUGUUCGGAUUUACUGGGCGUAAAGAGCGUGUAGGCGGCCUGGAAGGUCAGCUGUGAAAACUCGAGGCUCAACCUCGAGACGUCGGUUGAAACCACCUGGCUAGAGUCCGGAAGAGGAGAGUGGAAUUCCCGGUGUAGCGGUGAAAUGCGCAGAUAUCGGGAAGAACACCCGUGGCGAAGGCGGCUCUCUGGGACGGUACUGACGCUGAGACGCGAAAGCGUGGGGAGCGAACAGG